AUUGAACGCUAGCGGUGUGCUUAACACAUGCAAGUCGAACGGUAGCAGGCUCUAGUUUACUAGAGUGCUGACGAGUGGCGGACGGGUGAGUAACGCGUAGGGAUCUGUCUAUGGGUCUGGGACAACUCGGGGAAACUCGAGCUAAUACCGGAUAAGGUCUAAGGAAGAAAGUGGGGUAGCAAUAUCUCAUGCCGAUAGGUCAACCUGCGUUGGAGUAGCUAGUUGGUGGGGUAAAGGCCUACCAAGGCGACGAUCCAUAGCUGUUCUGAGAGGAAGAUCAGCCACACUGGGACUGAGACACGGCCCAGACUCCUACGGGAGGCAGCAGUGGGGAAUAUUGGACAAUGGGCGCAAGCCUGAUCCAGCAAUACCGCGUGUGUGAAGAAGGCCUGAGGGUUGUAAAGCACUUUCGACGAGGAGGAAGGUUAUAGUGCUAAUACCAAUAUAAUUUGACGUUACUCGUAGAAGAAGCACCGGCUAACUCUGUGCCAGCCGCCGCAGUAA
This 504-nucleotide ribosomal RNA is filed under the name uncultured bacterium. RNAcentral's name for it is "partial 16S ribosomal RNA". It matches the Rfam family "Bacterial small subunit ribosomal RNA", at positions 30 to 523 of the family's 1533-position model. The record is from RNAcentral.